UGGGGAAUAUUGCACAAUGGGGGAAACCCUGAUGCAGCGACGCCGCGUGAACGAAGAAGGUAUUCGUAUCGUAAAGUUCUGUCCUAUGGGAAGAUAAUGACAGUACCAUAGAAGAAAGCUCCGGCUAAAUACGUGCCAGCAGCCGCGGUAAUACGUAUGGAGCGAGCGUUGUCCGGAAUUAUUGGGCGUAAAGCGAGCGCAGGCGGUUAGAUAAGUCUGAAGUUAAAGGCAGUGGCUCAACCAUUGUAGGCUUUGGAAACUGUUUAACUUGAGUGCAGAAGGGGAGAGUGGAAUUCCAUGUGUAACGGUGAAAUGCGUAGAUAUAUGGAGGAACACCGGUGGCGAAAGCGGCUCUCUGGUCUGUAACUGACGCUGAGGCUCGAAAGCGUGGGGAGCGAACAGG
RNAcentral lists this ribosomal RNA (403 nucleotides) under Bacteroidota bacterium. Its description in RNAcentral is "Bacteroidetes bacterium partial 16S ribosomal RNA". It matches the Rfam family "Bacterial small subunit ribosomal RNA", at positions 355 to 776 of the family's 1533-position model. The record is from RNAcentral. Lineage: Bacteria; Pseudomonadati; Bacteroidota.